This 77-nucleotide transfer RNA is filed under the name Ahrensia sp. RNAcentral's name for it is "tRNA-His". It matches the Rfam family "tRNA". Rfam says of the family: Transfer RNA (tRNA) molecules are approximately 80 nucleotides in length. Lineage: Bacteria; Pseudomonadati; Pseudomonadota; Alphaproteobacteria; Hyphomicrobiales; Ahrensiaceae. The record is from RNAcentral. RNAcentral also lists the same sequence under 1 other name.
GCGGCUGUAGCUCAGUUGGUUAGAGCGCUGGAUUGUGGAUCCAGAGGUCGAAGGUUCAAAUCCCUCCAGCCGUACCA